Molecule: unclassified non-coding RNA, 352 nt
Filed under: soil metagenome
Description: partial contains 5.8S ribosomal RNA, internal transcribed spacer 2, and large subunit ribosomal RNA
Rfam family: 5.8S ribosomal RNA (bases 1-120)
Source: RNAcentral
GAUGAAGAACGUAGCGAAAUGCGAUAAGUAAUGUGAAUUGCAGAAUUCAGUGAAUCAUCGAAUCUUUGAACGCACAUUCCGCCCGCCAGUAUUCUGGCGGGCAUGCCUGUUCGAGCGUCAUUACAACCCUCAGGCCCCCGGGCCUGGCGUUGGGGAUCGGCGGAGCCCCCCGUGGGCACACGCCGUCCCCCAAAUGCAGUGGCGGUCCCGCCGCAGCUUCCAUCGCGUAGUAGCUAACACCUCGCGACUGGAGAGCGGCGCGGCCACGCCGUAAAACACCCAACUCUUCUGAAGUUGACCUCGAAUCAGGUAGGAAUACCCGCUGAACUUAAGCAUAUCAAUAAGCGGAGGA